AAGUCGGAAUCGCUGUAAUCGCGGAUCAGCAUGCCGCGGUGAAUACGUUCCCGGGCCUUGCACACACCGCCCGUCACACCAUGAGAGUCGGGAACACCCGAAGUCCGUAGCCUAACCGCAAGGAGGGCGCGGCCGAAGGUGGGUUCGAUAAUUGGGGUGAAGUCGUAACAAGGUACC
Molecule: ribosomal RNA, 177 nt
Filed under: uncultured bacterium
Lineage: Bacteria
Description: partial 16S ribosomal RNA
Rfam family: Bacterial small subunit ribosomal RNA
Source: RNAcentral